AGCUAAAAGCCUUUACCAGAAAUAGAAUUUGGUCGAUCACUCACGAAGAAGACUGCUUUAUAUAGGAUCUGCGUUGCCCUGAGAUGUUAAAAAUAGCUAGCAUGGAACUAGAGGUAUGGAACAGAGUGUUGUAAGCGCAGUGUGUGUAUACCAGGCCGGGGGAGAUGUGGGUAUGGGGCAGAGGUAGCUGCUCCGGAUGACAAGCAUUGACAAUCAGCAGUCUCGUGAACGCUAUGACGUCAAAUGACGACACAACAGGCAUCAGUUGGGACUCCGUUGCCACUAGCAACGAUUUGCGUAGGUGUGCUUGAGUAAUCGAUGAAGAAGAUACUUGUGGUUCUCUAUAUGUAGUCGGAAUUGUGUUGUCGUAUUAAACGAUGUUACGAUGCACACCCGAUUCCUCUGACAUAUCCUGCCAGCAAGACAUACUACCAUACCACACGAUAGAUGUCCUCGACGAUGCUUGCAGCAAAAAAAGAAGCAACAGCUUUCCAAAGUUAUGGCCUUGUUGUCACAAUCAAUGUUGAAUAUAUUUUCAAUUGAAGAUCUAUAACUAUUUUUAUUGUAUGAAGUGCUUCAGUUUAA
This is a long non-coding RNA of Haliotis rubra (blacklip abalone), 585 nucleotides long. RefSeq lists it as uncharacterized. Lineage: Eukaryota; Metazoa; Mollusca; Gastropoda; Lepetellida; Haliotidae. The record is from RefSeq and is a predicted model, not a curated record. The transcript is spliced from 2 exons.